RNAcentral lists this ribosomal RNA (454 nucleotides) under uncultured Porphyromonadaceae bacterium. RNAcentral describes it as "bacterial SSU rRNA". It matches the Rfam family "Bacterial small subunit ribosomal RNA", at positions 341 to 792 of the family's 1533-position model. The record is from RNAcentral. Lineage: Bacteria; Pseudomonadati; Bacteroidota; Bacteroidia; Bacteroidales; Porphyromonadaceae. RNAcentral also lists the same sequence under 1 other name.
ACGGGAGGCAGCAGUGAGGAAUAUUGGUCAAUGGGCGGAAGCCUGAACCAGCCAUGUCGCGUGCAGGACUACGGCCCUACGGGUCUUAAACUGCUUUUGCAAGGGGAUAAAGUGGGGCACGCGUGCCCCUUUGCAGGUACCUUGCGAAUAAGGAUCGGCUAACUCCGUGCCAGCAGCCGCGGUAAUACGGAGGAUCCGAGCGUUAUCCGGAUUUAUUGGGUUUAAAGGGUGCGUAGGCGGGCUGUUAAGUCAGCGGUGAAACCCCCGGGCUCAACCCGGGGACUGCCAUUGAAACUGGCGGCCUUGAGUACGUUGGGAGUGCGCGGAAUGUGUGGUGUAGCGGUGAAAUGCAUAGAUAUCACACAGAACACCGAUCGCGUAGGCAGCGCACUACGCCGCAACUGACGCUGAGGCACGAAGGCGCGGGGAUCGAACAGGAUUAGAUACCCUGGUA